AAUGUCUGGGAAACUGCCUGAUGGAGGGGGAUAACUACUGGAAACGGUAGCUAAUACCGCAUAACGUCGCAAGACCAAAGAGGGGGACCUUCGGGCCUCUUGCCAUCAGAUGUGCCCAGAUGGGAUUAGCUAGUAGGUGGGGUAAUGGCUCACCUAGGCGACGAUCCCUAGCUGGUCUGAGAGGAUGACCAGCCACACUGGAACUGAGACACGGUCCAGACUCCUACGGGAGGCAGCAGUGGGGAAUAUUGCACAAUGGGCGCAAGCCUGAUGCAGCCAUGCCGCGUGUAUGAAGAAGGCCUUCGGGUUGUAAAGUACUUUCAGCGGGGAGGAAGGUGUUGUGGUUAAUAACCGCAGCAAUUGACGUUACCCGCAGAAGAAGCACCGGCUAACUCCGUGCCAGCAGCCGCGGUAAUACGGAGGGUGCAAGCGUUAAUCGGAAUUACUGGGCGUAAAGCGCACGCAGGCGGUCUGUCAAGUCGGAUGUGAAAUCCCCGGGCUCAACCUGGGAACUGCAUUCGAAACUGGCAGGCUAGAGAACUGAAGUUGU
RNAcentral lists this ribosomal RNA (550 nucleotides) under Enterobacter sp. RNAcentral describes it as "bacterial SSU rRNA". It matches the Rfam family "Bacterial small subunit ribosomal RNA", at positions 112 to 658 of the family's 1533-position model. The record is from RNAcentral. Lineage: Bacteria; Pseudomonadati; Pseudomonadota; Gammaproteobacteria; Enterobacterales; Enterobacteriaceae.